Long non-coding RNA from Stylophora pistillata, 860 nucleotides. RefSeq lists it as uncharacterized. NCBI's taxonomy places the organism in Eukaryota, Metazoa, Cnidaria, Anthozoa, Scleractinia, Pocilloporidae. The record is from RefSeq and is a predicted model, not a curated record.
AUUGUCUGGAACAGACGGGUGUUGGCGAGUAUUUGUGUUAGCGUGUCGUGGCGAGAGUCUUGCAAUUUUUCAGGUUUUUGGGACCGUUGAAACUUUUCGACAGCAAUAUGCCCGUAAAGGUUAUGAUCACCUAUUGUGGUGGAUGAGGGUACAGGCCCAAGUUUGAGAAGAUCAAACAAGCAAUCCUCACAAAGUUUGAUGACACAGAAGUGGAAGUGGAAGGAUACGGAACACCAGGAAUAACCGGGUAUUUGGAAGUAGAGGUGGCUGGCAAACUUGUUCAUUCCAAAAAGGCUGGUGAUGGAUAUGUGGACUCUGACGGCAAAAUGCAGAAGAUUCUGAAUGCAGUCAAAGCAGCCCUGGCUUGAUUGUCCUCUGCAUGUGCAAGGAAAAAGUGUACAGUUGAGUUUGAACCAGCUGUUUGUUCCAGAUGGAUGACCAUUAAUGAUGGGAGCAGCUUAAAUUUACUGAUGGCUGACUUCUUGAUGAAGUAUAGUGAUUUCAUCUGGCGGCACUGUGGAAAACAAACUGUGCAUGUUAUUCCACUUUAUUCAGUUGUUUUAACGUGUGUACUCUACUGAGUAUUAAUUUCCUUUUUUUUUUUUUCUUUAGAUGUAAACAAGCUAUAGUGUAUGAGUAAUUAGUGCCUACACUGAUUUUUAUGGUGAAAUGUUUUUCACUAAUGUUGUUGUUUAACAUUUAUACUCUUCUGAGUAUUAAUUUUCAGUUUUUUGAGGCGUAAACAAGCUAUAAUGUACGAGUGGUUAGUGCCUGCACUGAUCGUUUUGGUGAAUGUUCUUCACUGAUGUAAAAAUUCCUUUUUUUUUUCUUUGUUGAAGUAAUAAAGAAAGCUUUUUGCA